GGGACACGUGGUAUCCUGUCUGAAUAUGGGGGGACCAUCCUCCAAGGCUAAAUACUCCUGACUGACCGAUAGUGAACCAGUACCGUGAGGGAAAGGCGAAAAGAACCCCGGCGAGGGGAGUGAAAAAGAACCUGAAACCGUGUACGUACAAGCAGUGGGAGCACGCUUAGGCGUGUGACUGCGUACCUUUUGUAUAAUGGGUCAGCGACUUAUAUUCUGUAGCAAGGUUAACCGAAUAGGGGAGCCGAAGGGAAACCGAGUCUUAACUGGGCGUUAAGUUGCAGGGUAUAGACCCGAAACCCGGUGAUCUAGCCAUGGGCAGGUUGAAGGUUGGGUAACACUAACUGGAGGACCGAACCGACUAAUGUUGAAAAAUUAGCGGAUGACUUGUGGCUGGGGGUGAAAGGCCAAUCAAACCGGGAGAUAGCUGGUUCUCCCCGAAAGCUAUUUAGGUAGCGCCUCGUGAAUUCAUCUCCGGGGGUAGAGCACUGUUUCGGCAAGGGGGUCAUCCCGACUUACCAACCCGAUGCAAACUGCGAAUACCGGAGAAUGUUAUCACGGGAGACACACGGCGGGUGCUAACGUCCGUCGUGAAGAGGGAAACAACCCAGACCGCCAGCUAAGGUCCCAAAGUCAUGGUUAAGUGGGAAACGAUGUGGGAAGGCCCAGACAGCCAGGAUGUUGGCUUAGAAGCAGCCAUCAUUUAAAGAAAGCGUAAUAGCUCACUGGUCGAGUCGGCCUGCGCGGAAGAUGUAACGGGGCUAAACCAUGCACCGAAGCUGCGGCAGCGACGCUGAUGCGUUGUUGGGUAGGGGAGCGUUCUGUAAGCCUGUGAAGGUGUGCUGUGAGGCAUGCUGGAGGUAUCAGAAGUGCGAAUGCUGACAUAAGUAACGAUAAAGCGGGUGAAAAGCCCGCUCGCCGGAAGACCAAGGGUUCCUGUCCAACGUUAAUCGGGGCAGGGUGAGUCGACCCCUAAGGCGAGGCCGAAAGGCGUAGUCGAUGGGAAACAGGUUAAUAUUCCUGUACUUGGUGUUACUGCGAAGGGGGGACGGAGAAGGCUAUGUUGGCCGGGCGACGGUUGUCCCGGUUUAAGCGUGUAGGCUGGUUUUCCAGGCAAAUCCGGAAAAUCAAGGCUGAGGCGUGAUGACGAGGCACUACGGUGCUGAAGCAACAAAUGCCCUGCUUCCAGGAAAAGCCUCUAAGCAUCAGGUAACAUCAAAUCGUACCCCAAACCGACACAGGUGGUCAGGUAGAGAAUACCAAGGCGCUUGAGAGAACUCGGGUGAAGGAACUAGGCAAAAUGGUGCCGUAACUUCGGGAGAAGGCACGCUGAUAUGUAGGUGAAGUCCCUCGCGGAUGGAGCUGAAAUCAGUCGAAGAUACCAGCUGGCUGCAACUGUUUAUUAAAAACACAGCACUGUGCAAACACGAAAGUGGACGUAUACGGUGUGACGCCUGCCCGGUGCCGGAAGGUUAAUUGAUGGGGUCAGCGCAAGCGAAGCUCUUGAUCGAAGCCCCGGUAAACGGCGGCCGUAACUAUAACGGUCCUAAGGUAGCGAAAUUCCUUGUCGGGUAAGUUCCGACCUGCACGAAUGGCGUAAUGAUGGCCAGGCUGUCUCCACCCGAGACUCAGUGAAAUUGAACUCGCUGUGAAGAUGCAGUGUACCCGCGGCAAGACGGAAAGACCCCGUGAACCUUUACUAUAGCUUGACACUGAACAUUGAGCCUUGAUGUGUAGGAUAGGUGGGAGGCUUAGAAGUGUGGACGCCAGUCUGCAUGGAGCCGACCUUGAAAUACCACCCUUUAAUGUUUGAUGUUCUAACGUUGACCCGUAAUCCGGGUUGCGGACAGUGUCUGGUGGGUAGUUUGACUGGGGCGGUCUCCUCCUAAAGAGUAACGGAGGAGCACGAAGGUUGGCUAAUCCUGGUCGGACAUCAGGAGGUUAGUGCAAUGGCAUAAGCCAGCUUGACUGCGAGCGUGACGGCGCGAGCAGGUGCGAAAGCAGGUCAUAGUGAUCCGGUGGUUCUGAAUGGAAGGGCCAUCGCUCAACGGAUAAAAGGUACUCCGGGGAUAACAGGCUGAUACCGCCCAAGAGUUCAUAUCGACGGCGGUGUUUGGCACCUCGAUGUCGGCUCAUCACAUCCUGGGGCUGAAGUAGGUCCCAAGGGUAUGGCUGUUCGCCAUUUAAAGUGGUACGCGAGCUGGGUUUAGAACGUCGUGAGACAGUUCGGUCCCUAUCUGCCGUGGGCGCUGGAGAACUGAGGGGGGCUGCUCCUAGUACGAGAGGACCGGAGUGGACGCAUCACUGGUGUUCGGGUUGUCAUGCCAAUGGCACUGCCCGGUAGCUAAAUGCGGAAGAGAUAAGUGCUGAAAGCAUCUAAGCACGAAACUUGCCCCGAGAUGAGUUCUCCCUGACUCCUUGAGAGUCCUGAAGGAACGUUGAAGACGACGACGUUGAUAGGCCGGGUGUGUAAGCGCAGCGAUGCGUUGAGCUAACCGGUACUAAUGAACCGUGAG
RNAcentral lists this ribosomal RNA (2516 nucleotides) under Escherichia coli. Its description in RNAcentral is "partial 23S ribosomal RNA". It matches the Rfam family "Bacterial large subunit ribosomal RNA", at positions 419 to 2915 of the family's 2925-position model. Lineage: Bacteria; Pseudomonadati; Pseudomonadota; Gammaproteobacteria; Enterobacterales; Enterobacteriaceae. The record is from RNAcentral.